GAUGAACGCUGGCGGCGUGCCUAAUACAUGCAAGUCGAGCGAACAGACGAGGAGCUUGCUCCUCUGACGUUAGCGGCGGACGGGUGAGUAACACGUGGAUAACCUACCUAUAAGACUGGGAUAACUUCGGGAAACCGGAGCUAAUACCGGAUAAUAUAUUGAACCGCAUGGUUCAAUAGUGAAAGACGGUUUUGCUGUCACUUAUAGAUGGAUCCGCGCCGCAUUAGCUAGUUGGUAAGGUAACGGCUUACCAAGGCAACGAUGCGUAGCCGACCUGAGAGGGUGAUAGGCGACACUGGAACUGGAACACGCACCAGACUGCUAGGGGAGGCAGCAGUGGGGAAUUUUCAGGAAAGGGCGAAAGCCUUACGCGGCAACGCCGAGUGAGUGAUGAAGGUCUUCGGAUCGUAAAACUCUGUUAUUAGGGAAGAACAAAUGUGUAAGUAUCUAUGCACGUAUUGACGGUACCGAAUCAGAAAGCCACGGCUAACUACGUG
RNAcentral lists this ribosomal RNA (497 nucleotides) under uncultured bacterium. RNAcentral's name for it is "partial 16S ribosomal RNA". It matches the Rfam family "Bacterial small subunit ribosomal RNA", at positions 28 to 507 of the family's 1533-position model. The record is from RNAcentral.